RNAcentral lists this ribosomal RNA (853 nucleotides) under Xerocampylaea zelebori. Its description in RNAcentral is "partial 16S ribosomal RNA". The record is from RNAcentral. Lineage: Eukaryota; Metazoa; Mollusca; Gastropoda; Stylommatophora; Hygromiidae.
CUGUACUAUAAUAUCUUUAUAUUAAGUCUCACGAAUAUGGGCGAGCUAAAAUAGUUGUAUAUUUUAGUAUAUAAAGUAAUUGUGACAAUAAUUAAACAAUAUAAUUGUUUAGGGGUGAAAGGCUUACCAAGCUCAUGGAUAUCUUGAUAGGUAAGAAACAUAUAUAGUAUUUUCUUAAACCAAAAAUGCUAAGGUUUUUGGUAGGUAUUAAUUUUUUAAAAUUAUUAUAUCUAUUUGGUUAAUUUCUAUAGAUUAAAUUAAGAAAAUAUUACAUAAUUAGUGAUUAUACACUUUAUAACCUAAUAAUUAAGAGUUAUAUAUAAAUUAAAUAUAAUGUACAUAUUAGUACUACAUAAGAUUUUAUUAAGGAACUCGGCAAAAAGAUUUUUCGACUGUUUACCAAAAACAUAGCUUUAAGUUAUUAUUUAAGGUUAUCCCUGCUCAAUGGUAAACUAAAUAGCCGCAGUACCUUGACUGUGCAAAGGUAGCAUAAUCAGUUGGCUUAUAAUUGAAGUCUGGCAUGAAUGGGUUUACGGAAAUUAGCUGUCUUAAUUUAAGUUAUAGAAAUUACUAAAUAAGUGAAAAUUCUUAUAUACAUAAACUAGACGAGAAGACCCUAGAAAUUUUAUAGAUAUUUUAUACUUUUAUUUUGUUGGGGCGACAAGGUAACAUUUAACUUACUUAUAUAAAUGAGAAAAUACUUAUUUGAUUAAAUAAAUUACUCUAGGGAUAACAGCACAAUUUAUUAUUAAGUUUGUGACCUCGAUGUUGGACUAGGACCUGUUCUAUUCAAAAAAUAGACUAUUUGGCUCUGUUCGAGCUUUGUUUCCUACAUGAUCUGAGUUCAGACCGG